ACCCCUAACAUUAGCUUUUUGAUUGAAAUGUUUUUUACAUUUUAAGAGUGAUAUUCAAAAAGCUACCGCUAGGUGUCA
Gadus morhua (Atlantic cod) is the source of this 78-nucleotide microRNA precursor. Lineage: Eukaryota; Metazoa; Chordata; Actinopteri; Gadiformes; Gadidae. The record is from Ensembl.